CCUACGGGAGGCAGCAGUGGGGAAUAUUGCACAAUGGGGGAAACCCUGCUGCAGCGACGCCGCGUGAGCGAGGAAGUAUUUCGGUAUGUAAAGCUCUAUCAGCAGGGACGAAAAAAGACGGUACCUGACUAAGAAGCCCCGGCUAACUACGUGCCAGCAGCCGCGGUAAUACGUAGGGGGCAAGCGUUAUCCGGAUUUACUGGGUGUAAAGGGAGCGUAGACGGCAAGGCAAGCCAGAAGUGAAAGGGCAGGGCUCAACCCUGUACAUGCUUUUGGAACUGUGGUGCUAGAGUGCAGGAGAGGUAAGUGGAAGUCCUAGUGUAGCGGUGAAAUGCGUAGAUAGUAGGAGGAACACCGUUAGCGAAGGCGGCAAUCUGGCUGGAAACUGACGCUGAGGUGCGAAAGCGUGGGUAGCAAACAGGAUUAGAUACCCGUGUAGUC
This 441-nucleotide ribosomal RNA is filed under the name uncultured bacterium. Its description in RNAcentral is "partial 16S ribosomal RNA". It matches the Rfam family "Bacterial small subunit ribosomal RNA", at positions 338 to 795 of the family's 1533-position model. The record is from RNAcentral.